This 439-nucleotide ribosomal RNA is filed under the name Catonella sp. oral taxon B06. RNAcentral describes it as "bacterial SSU rRNA". It matches the Rfam family "Bacterial small subunit ribosomal RNA", at positions 28 to 447 of the family's 1533-position model. Lineage: Bacteria; Bacillati; Bacillota; Clostridia; Lachnospirales; Lachnospiraceae. The record is from RNAcentral.
GAUGAACGCUGGCGGCGUGCCUAACACAUGCAAGUCGAACGGAGAUUACAGACGGAAGUUUUCGGAUGGAAGUGUGUAAUUCUUAGUGGCGGACGGGUGAGUAACGCGUGGGCAACCUGCCCUAUACAGGGGGAUAGCAGCUGGAAACGGCUGGUAAGACCGCAUAAGUCGUCUUGGUCGCAUGACCGGGACGGGAAAUGAGCAAUCAGGUAUAGGAUGGGCCCGCGUCCGAUUAGCCAGUUGGCAGGGUAAGAGCCUACCAAAGCAACGAUCGGUAGCCGGACUGAGAGGUCGGACGGCCACAUUGGAACUGAGACACGGCCCAAACUCCUACGGGAGGCAGCAGUGGGGGAUAUUGCACAAUGGAGGGAACUCUGAUGCAGCGACGCCGCGUGAGUGAAGAAGUAUUUCGGUAUGUAAAGCUCUAUCAGCAGGGAAG